CUCAUAAUGCAAGAAUCUCCAUUCUCUCUGGCAGAUUCCCCCAAGCUCCUGGUCACCGGACUCAGGCAGGGGACAGACUCCUUGUCUGGUCUUUCUGAGGCCAUUGAGUGCAAUCCUCGUGGCAGUACCUGCGGGGAAGACGCUGAGGCUGCGGUGAAGGAAGACUGCAGGUGGUCUGUUCUCAGCUGACCCUCCUGGGUGUCUCUGGACCCCGUAUCAGACUUCGUUGCCGCACACCCAUUACAGAAGUUUAAGGAAUUUUGAGGUAAGCAUGAGAGCAUUAGCAGGCUCAUUAGCCUGCUUCCUGAGUCAGCUGUCAACAUUCUGCCUUCAAAUUCAAGAUGAAUGAAAACAGAACAUGAGCGGAAAGACUUGUGAUCGACUGGGGAGGUGGGCAUUCCUCCAGGGUCUGGUUGACUUGAAUUAUUUUGUGUAUCAGGCUGUCUGAAGUUUAUUGCAUCUUUCCAUUGGGGUUUUGAUAUUCUGGAAUUCCCAAAACCUGUGUGAGAGUAGGGUUGUGGGCCCAGGAGAUGGUAAAUUCCUUACCGGCAAAAAGAAUGUACUUUCCCAGUGAUGCUUGCAGCUCAUGGCAAUGUUCUUGCUGAACGUUGGGUGCCAAGUGAAUGUUGGUUGAAGUGAAACUGCAGUUUGAUCUGAGUAGCUCAUUACAGUAUCACACACACCUAGGUCUCUUCCACCAUUGACUUCUCUGAGUCAUCGUAUAGAAUGGGGAAUACGGCCAAAAUUUUAUAAUAACUCUAAAUGGAGUAUAAUAAAAAAAUAUAGAAUCACA
RNAcentral lists this long non-coding RNA (793 nucleotides) under Bos indicus x Bos taurus (hybrid cattle). Its description in RNAcentral is "lncRNA (ENSBIXG00005007606.1)". Lineage: Eukaryota; Metazoa; Chordata; Mammalia; Artiodactyla; Bovidae. The record is from RNAcentral.